Molecule: long non-coding RNA, 1063 nt
Organism: Salvelinus namaycush (lake trout)
Lineage: Eukaryota; Metazoa; Chordata; Actinopteri; Salmoniformes; Salmonidae
Exons: 3
Source: RefSeq, a predicted model, not a curated record
GAGGAAGGACAGCUGUGAAAACAGCUGGAAAAUGAGUCGGGAGCACAGUGUGUCUCUUUGAUGUGACGAGUUGAGAGGUUCUGCACCUGCUGGAGAGAAAAGGCUUUGAUAAGGACCGGAAGAUUGCCAGACAACCAAAGUUCUCUGUAUCCCUCCCUGCAUGAAGGUGCUAAAGCAAACGAAGGUGGCCUUCAUGUUAUUGACAUGGCAGUCAGUCUGCAUUCCCUGCCAACCCAAAGAUCCUUGUUACCGUGUGCCUAAGCUUUCCAGAGGCUGUGGUGAUAAAGGUACCAGCUAUCUCAUUCCUACAGAGGACCAGAGGAUAAGAUGUCCUGCAAAUGUCCCCAUCAUGGAGGGAGUUUGCCAAGUCGAGAUAAGAACUCCCUAGUUAACCUCUAUAUGGCAGUAACAUUUCUAGCCUCUCACGGAAGGUGUGUGUGUCCGUGUGUGCAUGUGUGUGUACUGCACAGAGUAGUGGUGGGGCUUGUUAGCUGUAGUCUUGUCCAAGCUGCUGCCUCAUGUCCCAAUUGGAGAGCCGAUUGGUCUGGCUUGUUGUCUCCAGGCAGGAUAAAACACUGGCUCCUACUCCACAUCACACACACUUGUUUUUCACAAGUCCACUCUUUCAUUUUUAGGUGAUGAAUAAGUAGUGUAUGCAAAAUCACCUGUGGGUUGUGUGUAGGAUAAUAUGACCUUAUGUUUAGUGAAAUAGCUAGAUGAAUAUACAACCUGAGGGGAAUAUACAAAGAAAAACAUUACAAGGAUGGGUUGAUCCAUCACGAACACACAGCACAUGGAAAACAUGUCAAAAGGCGUGAAGACUGUGUCAGUCAGUGAAUCAUUUAAUUAGCUGUAAUCAAAUAACAGCAUCCUUUUUAUCAGGGUGAAUGGGGACGGUUCAUUUGAGUGUGUACAUCAUGUUGAGUGCUUGGCCUAUGCCUUUAAUCAGCCUGUAAUUAUCAGACAGAUUCUCAAUGCCACACUAAUUAAGAUAUUCAAACGCUACAUGGGAAAUGUUGUAAUAUGGAGAUUUCCUGCACAACACCAGGGAAAUCUCUGUAAU